Molecule: long non-coding RNA, 557 nt
Organism: Vicia villosa (hairy vetch)
Lineage: Eukaryota; Viridiplantae; Streptophyta; Magnoliopsida; Fabales; Fabaceae
Exons: 3
Source: RefSeq, a predicted model, not a curated record
AUAUUUAUGAAUGUGAGCCUGGUAUUCUUUUGUAUUGACGGAUUCUGGUGAUCGAUCAAAACCUAUACACUGCUUAUUUGGAUUUGUUACAUUUCAUACAAUAUGGCACGAGAACAACACUCAUCUACGCCACCAUGGUUACUCGACGCAGGACCUUUAUUUCUCGUUCUUCUAAUAGGAGCUCAUGUUCUCGGACUGGUGUAUUGGAUUUAUAGAUUAGCGACUCAGAAACAACCGCAGCAGAGGCGAAAGGCUCAUUGAAGGAGAAGAAACAAGUUUGCAUCCUUGGAGAAAGGAAAUUUUGCAGCUGACUGCUUUGGGAAAUUGGCAAUGCUCAGAAAUGGCAAGCUAUAAAAUUUGAUAGUUUUUCUUUAGGUCUUCUAAGAUUGUUGAAGUAGAAUCUUUUCUAGAGAUUUAUAUUUGGUCCUUGCUGCAUGUGUUACUUGUCAGUUGUCGUUAGUUAUUUAUUAGUCAAUCUUCUUUUAUAAACUAACACAAUUUGAGUUGAUGAAUUGCUUUAUUAGUAGUAGAAUAAAUAAUUCAAAUUUUUGUUCUAA